This 5206-nucleotide long non-coding RNA is filed under the name Homo sapiens (human). RNAcentral's name for it is "HSALNT0003335". The stretch from base 2125 to 2229 matches the Rfam family "Small nucleolar RNA U13". The record is from RNAcentral. Lineage: Eukaryota; Metazoa; Chordata; Mammalia; Primates; Hominidae.
GAGGUGGAGAAGGAGAGUAUCUCCUCUGUAUUGGAGGAGAGUAUCUUCUAGGAGAAGGUGAGCGCCGACGUGGGGGAGGAGAAGGAGUCCUAGGAAAAAGAUACAUAAUUAAGCUGAAAGGCUCAACAAAAUACAGAAACAGGAUGAAAAGUAAUCAGUAGGUUUGGCUAUACUGUAGUUAGCACUAGGCAAAGGGAAUAUAUUUAUAAGUGAACAUGCUAUCUUUAUAUUCUCACUUAAAUAUCAAUAAAACUUGUUUAUCUCAGCUGACUGCAACACAGGACACUGUCUGCAGGACUAAGUACAAAAAAGAAAAAAAGACAUUUUGAUUAACAAAAAUUUGCAAUUUUCAGAAGAUGUGAAUUUGUCAAUCUUUUAACAUCUAUACAAAAUUAACGUUUUUUGAAAACAGAAUCUUGCACUGUAUUAACUGAACAUCAGUUAUUAUAUAAUAACCAAGUAACUGUAUUAGCAAAACUCUAUUAUGGUCACCUUAGGAAGUCUGCACUUUAAAGAGGUCUCCUAUGUGGUAUCCUCUCUGAAUGAGCAUUUGGACACUGUAUGAAUAAUUAAGAGUUCACUGCACAAGCCUUAAAGACACUUCUACCUCCCCUCAAAGAGACUGUUCCAUUUUCUGUCUCAAAAGGCCACUUUUCAGGCCAAACUGCCUAAUUUCCUCUUGGAUAUUGCAGACUUUUAGAUCAAAGUAAAUUCCUGCCCAGAGUUAGCUUUACAAUAGGCCAUAUAUUUUGGCAAUGUGGUAGGGCACAAUUUCAUCACUGUAUCUGGGUAAUUACUUAGUAAUUCUCAACUCCCAUUUCCUCACCUGAAAAAUGCAAACAAUACCAACUAUCAAGCAAGGUCGCUUUGAAGACUAGUAGUAAAGCAUAUAAAGCACCUAGCACUUUGCCUGGCACUUAACAGGCAUUCAAGAGUGGCAGCCAGGCUGGGCAGAGUGGGUCACACCUGUCAUCCCAGCACUCUGGGAGGCUGAGGCGGAUCACCUGAGGUCAGGAGUUUGAGACCAGCCUGGCUACCAUGGUGAAACCUCAUCUCUACAAAAAAUACAAAAACUGGCUGGGUGUGGUGGCAGAUGCCUGUAAUCCCAGCUACUCGGGAGGCUGAGGCAGGAGAAUCGCUUGAACCCAGGAGGCGGAGGUUACAGUGAGCUGAGAUCGGCCACUGCACUCCAGCCUGGGUGACAGAGUGAGACUGUCUCAAAAAAAAAAAAAAAAAAAAAAAAAAAGAGUGGCAGCAUGUCAUUACAUUGCUUGGCAACAUAUCCGAGCAAUGACAUUAAAACAUUUUCCCCUAAUUUUCACUUUAAAAUAGUUGUAAAGAAGAGCUACAAAAAUAGGAGAUUUGCCACUUCACCAUGCUAAUAUUUUAUAUAACCAUAAGAAAAUUAGCAAAACUGUAAAAUGAACCUCAGUGAUAACUUAGUAUUACUAAAAUAGCAAACAACCCAGUUUUCCACUACUGAAUGUCCCUUUUCUGUUCCAGGACUUAAUCAAUGUUCCUUUUCUGCUCCAGGACCCUACAUCUCUUUAGUUCUUGCCAAUCUGUGACUGUUUCUGUCAUUGUCUUUCAUGACUGACACUUUUGAAUACUGGUCAGGUAUUCUGUAAAAUGACUUUCAAUUUGGGUUUGUCUGAUUAUUUCCUAAUAAUAAGACUGAGGUUUGGCAUAAUUGGUAAGCAUACUACAGAGGUAUCCAGGAAAUACACGAUGCCAAUGUUUUAUUGAGGAUGUUAUCUUUGAUUAUUUAGGUAAGAGAUAUCUGCCAGUAUCCUCUAAAUUUUCUCUUUACAAUUACUAGUCAAUACCAUCUUUUAAUGUAUUAACAUCUUUAUGACAAUACAUGAUUCACCUGCUAUAAAAUCUACCUAUUUACCCAUUUAAGGUCCAUUUAAAGUAUACAAUUAAAUGAUUUUAGUAUAUUCAUAUAGUUCUGCAGCUAUUACCAUCCCCAUGUCCACCCCACCCUAAUCUGUUUUCUAUCUCUAUAGAUUUGUGUAUUCUAGACUUUUCAUAUAGAUGGAAUCAUACGUGUUCUUUUAUGACUGGCUGAACAAUGCUAGUCUGCUUACUCUAAUAAGAUAUAAUCAUCAGAAAGAUUCAGAGAUCCUUUUGUAGUUCAUAAGCAUGAUGAUUGGGUUUUCACAUGCACACAUGAGCUGUGCCUCUCUCCAACCUUGUUAGGAAGUGAGCACCAUUACUCAUCUGAUGUUAUCAGGGGCGGGGGGAGUUGGGGAGAUGCUCCAGUUAGCAUAUUUGACAAAGUACCUUCGUCGUGGUGGUGGUGUGGGAGUCCUGCGCCGUCGAGGAGGAGGGGCGGGAGAAGGAGACCGUCGCCUUCUGGUGGGUGGUGGGGAUGGACUUCUCCUCCGUCUACCACUAAACCAAGAAGAAUUAUAGUUAAUUUUUUUUCUUUUUUUUGUGUGUGUGUGAUGGCGUCUCACUCUGUCGCCCAGGCUGGAGUGCAAUGGCAUGAUCUUGGCUCACUGCAACCUCCGCCUCCCAGGUUCAAGCAAUUCUCCCCCCUCAGCCUCCUGAGUAGUUGGGAUUACAGGCACCCAUAAUCAUGCCUGGCUAAUUUUUUAAAAUAUUUUUGUAGAGACGGAGUUUCACCAUGUUGGCCAAGCUGGUCUUGAACUCCUGACCUCAGGUGAUCUGCCUGCCUCAGCCUCCCAAAGUGCUGGGAUUAUAGGUGUGAGUUACCACGCCUGGCCUAUAUAGUUAACUUUGAGUCAGUGGCAUUUAUAGUUAAGUGACCCAGAAGACACGGUUUCAAUUAUCAUUAACCCCAAGGGCAGCAAUGGUUACUAAGUUUCAGAACAGUGUUUUUCAAACUACAGGUCAAGAUCAUCAGUCAAGACCCUGGGUGGCAGCAUUAAAAAACUUAAUAAAACCAGAGUGUUUUACUUGUGACAAGGGUAAGUACCGUUUUGUGAAAUUUUUCUUUUACUCUGGAUCACAAUACCAAACAUUCUUGACAUGACACAGAGUGAAAAAGUUCGGCAACAGCACAUAAGAGCACUGCUUUUUAUUGGGGAUGCACAUUAGAACCACCUAGGAAGCUUAUGUGAGAUUUAUGCCUACCAGGUCUGGGCUAAGGUCCAGCCAGGUGUUUUUGGGAAAGGCUCUCCAGGUGAUUCUAAUUCCUUAUUAGGAAUCAACUGCUUUAGAGACUCUAAUACAGAAAUUCAAAAAUGCCAAUAGUCACAAGUGGCUUAAGACCCAAGUCUGGACGUCUCUGCUCCAAGCUCUUAAUUUUUUUUGCCCAGGACAGGACUCAUGCUUCCUGUGAAUCUGGAAUUAUGUUUUGUCUUGGUUCCCGUUAGAAACUAAGAAAUCUCUGUUAACUGAACAGACAAAAUCCUAAAAGUCACCACUAAAUUUUUCAACUUAAAUCUGCUUAUGCUUUGUGGGGACUAAGACCUCACACUAAAUACAUAUAAAAUAUUCAAAACCAGGCUCUAUCUCCCCUUCUUUUCUUGAGACAGAGUCUCGCUCUGUUGCCCAGGCUGGAGUGCACUGGCACGAUCUGGGCUUACUGCAAGCUCUGCCUCCUGGGUUCACACCAUUCUCCUGCCUCAGCCUCCCAAGUAGCUGGGACUACAGGUGCCCGCCACCACACCCAGCUAAUUUUUUGUAUUUUUAGUAGAGACGGGGUUUCACCGUGUUAGCCAGGAUGGUCUUUAUCUCCUGACCUCGUGAACCACCCGCCUCGGCCUCCCAAAGUGCUGGGAUUACAGGCGUGAGCCUCUUUUUUUUUUUUUGAGACGGAGUUUUGCUCUUGUUGCCCAGGCUGGAGUGCAAUGGCACGAUAUCGGCUCACUGCAACCUCCACCUCCCGGAUUCAAACGAUUCUCCUGCCUGAGCCUCCCGAGUAGCUGGGACUACAGGCAUGCGCCACCACGCCCGGCUAACUUUUUUGUAUUUUUAGUAGAGAUGGGGUUCCGUCGUGUUGGCCAGGCUGGUCUCAAACGUCUGAUCUCAGGUGAUCCACCCAACUCAGCCUCCCAAAGUGCUGAGAUUACAGGCAUGAGCCACCGCACCCGGCCUCUAUCUCCCCUUCUAAAAUACGAUACUGAAGCAUAAUUCCAAAUAAUCCUUCCUCCAUCUCUAAAUCCUAGGAACCUGAUGGCAAUUUCUAAUGGCAUUAAACUUGAAGCUGCUGGUAUAUAACUUAAAAUACUUUUUAAAUGACGAGAAACAAAACAAAAACAUCCUGGAGUAGAGCAAUAAACAUUAGUGUUGAUUUUACUGCUGUGAGGAAUCUCUUUCCAGAACAGAAAGUAGUGCCAUAAUUUGGUGGGGGGGUGGGGAGGGAAGGGGAGAUGAAAGAGAAGAAAUUGCACCACUAAUCUAACUCUGUAAAGCAAUUGUUUAGUUGCUGUGCUAGCAACUUCACAAAAGCCAGAGAUAAUUAUAGCUGGGAAAGGAAUGCUUUAGCAGCCAAACUAAUCUUUUUUAGGUUUUUAUCUUUUAUUAUCAUGGAGCAGUUUCCUCCACAGUGUAAAUACCCCGUGCUUUGCUCCAUCACAAACACUGCUCACUGGUUCCUUUCCAAGAAAACACUCUUAUUGAUGAGAUUACCUAAAACAACACAGCUUCAAAAACUGAGCUACAAAAAGGACAGUGGGAUAGCUUCAGCAAGGAUAAAUACUUCAAAAUUCAGUGGCAGCUAAGGCCCCAAAAGCAGAAAGCUGGUUAAGACAGACUAGUGUAAUGCCAAAUGUAUAGGUCUAAGAUCCAACUUUGUCACUUUGCGGCCCUAAGAAACUACCCCAUCAGGGCCGCUAUCUUCUCACUUAUGAGAGUAAGGCCUGAAUUAGGGAUUUGGCUCUAAAAUUUUACAGUUUUAUGGUCACAGUGACACUAAUAAUCAAAAGUUUCAAUAAAGAUAUGCAGGUCGGGCCCAGUGGCUCAUGCCUGUAAUCCCAACACUUUGGGAGGCCGAGGCGGGUGGAUCACCUGACUUUAGGAGUUUGAGACCAUCCUGGCCAACAUGGCGAAAUCCCUUCUCUACUAAAAAUACAAAAAUUAGCUGGGCAUGGUGGCAUGUGCCUGUAGUCCCAGCUACUCAGGAGGCUGAGGCAGGAGAAUCGUUUGAACCUACAAAGCAGAAGUUGCAGUGAGCCGAGGUCGCACCAAUGCACCCCAGCCUGGGUGAUAGAGCCAGACUCCAUCUCAACAAAAA